This 520-nucleotide ribosomal RNA is filed under the name uncultured Glomus. RNAcentral's name for it is "SSU rRNA". It matches the Rfam family "Eukaryotic small subunit ribosomal RNA", at positions 569 to 1092 of the family's 1831-position model. Lineage: Eukaryota; Fungi; Glomeromycota; Glomeromycetes; Glomerales; Glomeraceae. The record is from RNAcentral.
AGCAGCCGCGGUAAUUCCAGCUCCAAUAGCGUAUAUUAAAGUUGUUGCAGUUAAAAAGCUCGUAGUUGAAUUUCGGGAUCAAGGCGUCGGUCGUGCUUAGGUACGUACUGGCGUAAUUGAUUUCUCCCUUCUGACGAACCAUGAUGUCAUUAAUUUGGUGUUAUGGGAAAUCAGGACUGUUACUUUGAAAAAAUUAGAGUGUUUAAAGCAGGCUCACGCUUGAAUACAUUAGCAUGGAAUAAUGAAAUAGGACGUUCGAUCCUAUUUUGUUGGUUUUAGGAUCAACGUAAUGAUUAAUAGGGAUAGUUGGGGGCAUUAGUAUUCAAUUGUCAGAGGUGAAAUUCUUGGAUUUAUUGAAGACUAACUACUGCGAAAGCAUUUGCCAAGGAUGUUUUCAUUAAUCAAGAACGAAAGUUAGGGGAUCGAAGACGAUCAGAUACCGUCGUAGUCUUAACCAUAAACUAUGCCGACUAGGGAUCGGAUGAUGUUAAUUUUUUAAUGACUCAUUCGGCGCCUUACG